GAGUUUACAGCUAUGGAAGUAGUAUUUUAUGGGAUACAGCAAAGCCCUAGCUUAAGCUGGCUGCUUCUUCUUAUGAAUUUACAUCAUGAAGAUUAGAAUACAUGAGGCAGAAGUAGUAGAAGACUAUAAGAACAUUUCCCAGGCGGCUGGCUCCCGAAGAUGGCAGAGGGGCAGGUCCUGGUGCUCGAUGGCAGAGGCCAUCUCCUGGGCCGCUUGGUGGCCAUCGUGGCCAAACAGGUACUACUGGGGUGGAAGGUGGUGGUUGUGUGCUGUGAGGGCAUCAGCAUUUCUGGCAAUUUCUAUAGAAACAAGUUAAAGUACCUGGCCUUCCUCUGCAAGCAGAUGAACACCAACCCAUCCUGUGGCCCCUGCCAUUUCUGGGCCCCCAUUUUCUGGCAGACUGUGGGGGGCAUGCUGCCCCACAAGACCAAGUGAGGCCAGGCUGCUCUGGACUGCCUCAAGGUGUUUGAUGGGAUCCCACCGCCCUAUGACAAGAAACAGCAGGUUGGUGGUUCCUACUGCCCUCAAGGUUGUGCAUCUGAAGCCUACAAUAAAGUCUGCCUACCUGGGGCACCUGGCUCACGAAAUUGGCUGAAAGUCCCAGGCAGUGACAGCCACCCUGGAGAAGAGGAAGGAGAAGGCCAAGAUCCACUACUGGAAGUAAAACCAGCUCAUGAGGCUAUGGAAACAGGCCGAAAAGAAUGUGGAGAAGAAAACUGACAAAUACACAGAGAUUCUCAAGACCCAUGGACUCCUGGUCUGAGCCCAAUACAGACUUUAUUCCUCAAAAAAAAAAAAAAAAAAAAAAAA
Molecule: RNA transcript, 810 nt
Organism: Lemur catta (Ring-tailed lemur)
Lineage: Eukaryota; Metazoa; Chordata; Mammalia; Primates; Lemuridae
Gene name: 60S ribosomal protein L13a-like
Exons: 1
Source: RefSeq, a predicted model, not a curated record